Long non-coding RNA from Jaculus jaculus (lesser Egyptian jerboa), 2545 nucleotides. RefSeq lists it as uncharacterized. The transcript is spliced from 5 exons. NCBI's taxonomy places the organism in Eukaryota, Metazoa, Chordata, Mammalia, Rodentia, Dipodidae. The record is from RefSeq and is a predicted model, not a curated record.
CCCAGCCAGCAUGGGUCCCAUAAUGGGGGCACCCGUUGGCCACCCAUAGUGAAGAAACCGCAGUACGUUCUUGUGGAGAUAAACUCCCAACCGGCUGGACUCCUAUGUAAUGGGAGUCAUGAUUAUCUCUGGGUACAGCCCACAUAAAAUUCUUUACGAAACCAAAAAUUCAAGGAGGCGAUGGGAACCUAUUUAAUACGGCAACAGCAGUGACCGCGAGGGACACGUUUGACCAACAAGCCCACGCAGCUGGAUGUCGCUAUGACGGCAAUAGAUCCUCCCACCAUGGCUGUGCUAAGCAGGAGAGCCGGUGAGCAGAGCCGGUGAGCCUGCCCUUCCCGCCUUCUCCUGGCCACUAACCGCCAGCUGCCUGAGGACAAGACGCCGCUAAGGAACAAGGCGACAGAAGGCUCAACAGGCCUGCCCCCCAGGGACCCGCCCUCACGGCACAGGCCCCCCGCCCCGGCGUGAUCCUGCGGCUGCAGGAGUCUGAGAGCAGCAGAACCUCCAAAGCUGUGCCAUGGAUCAGUGUCCUCAGACAGAAGUCACCUGAAAACUCUUACAGCAGGAAAGACCCGGCCAUCCACCAUCCCGGUCAAAAGGGGAACCCAGUGUUCCACGGCCAGCAACAGUAGUAGCAGAAUCUCCCAGUGGAACUAACUGACAGGUGCUUAAGGCAGUUGCCCCUCAUGAGGAGGCGUCUGCCUCACCAUAAGUAUGAGGUGGGUCCCCGUCAGGUCCAACUUACAGUAAGAAACUGAGCUCUAAAGGUACAAGACUUUGAACAGACUUGGUGCAGAAGAUUCAGAAUCCAGAUCAGGUCACCACGGAAGCUGUCUCUGAAGGCAGAGCAUCCCCACGAGAAUGGCUGACUGAGGAAAUCCGAGCCAUUGGAGGAGCAUGGAUGGGGAGUGACUCCGAAGCAGUUGCAUCACCUGAAAAGCUUGCCCUGGCAUGAGCGACGAGAGCUGCCUCCCUGGAUUUCCCAGUACAACCUGCAGUCAGCUCACAGAAGAAUUUCCUCUCCAACGGUUGUCACUGGUUUCGUAACCUUGGGAGAGCUGUGGUUACAGCUGUGAUACGCAGGUGCCGACUUGAGUGGGGAUCAGCAGGACCCCAAGAGAACAAAUGCACAUGUUCCUGUACAUCCUCUGCCAUGUCUGAGAGCCAUGCUGUCCCUCUGUGGAGUCUGGGCUUGUGUAGGAUUCUGCUCUCCACUGGCACAUGUAUCUCACCAACUCAUCAAUGCACAGCCCGGAUGCCACUGUAGGCCAACAACUGAUGGCGAAAACCAGAAGCAACCAGUGAGAUCCUGUGCUUGCUACGCAUCUUGGAGAUGGGAUGCAGGCUACAGACCAAACACGUCAGGGUACCCAUCACCCCUCCCCCCGUACACACACACAACACACUGUACAAUGCAGACUUGGUGUAUUUGGGGGGGGCUGUUCCUUCCUUCCAUCUUUUCUUUUUGAAAUAUGAAUUCUACUAAUAUGUUCAGCAGUAGAUAUCAUGAAUUUAACAUGUUGAGAAAUGUGCCUGCCCCAAAGUACCUUCCCCAUACAGACAUGUGUAAAACUUAGAAACAUAUUCUUCUCCCAUCACUUGCUUAAGGAGAACAUGCAAUUUGUGGAAGUUGAACUAGCCUGCUUGUGGCAAUAUUUAAAAAUCCCCCAAGCCAACCCAUUGCAUUUGGUUAAAAUUUUGGUGACUCAGAUGGGACUUUCCUUUUGGUGGCUAUGUCCUCCAACUUCUAGCAAGGGAGUCGAUGAAAAGAAUUGGGGCUGCUGGAGAGUUGGCUCAGCAGGCAAGGUGAGAUUCGCCAGUACCCACUUAAGCCAGAUGUACAUAGUGGCACAUGCAAAUGGAGUUUGCCUUUCUCUACAUCUGACCUGUACAAUUAGAAAGCACAUACUUAAGGUCGGAGAGCAAACCCAGCAGGAUUUACUACCCCUUUGAUGAGUGUCUUUACCACUCAUAAUCCUACAUGUACAGACAUCCAAACUCUUCUGUCCACUCUUCUAACAAGAGAGGAACACAGCCAAAUCAGCAGAAGCUAUGAAAGAGGCAGAUAAACAACAUGCUAGCCAACAUGACAAUACAAUCUGGCAACCAUGAAGAGAUAGGAGACUAUGUAUUUGUACGGGGUGUAUAAGUAAUAAAAGAAAUUAUACAAGAUACUCACCGUGUACUACCUAAUCUCUCUACACUUCACUAGCUACACUUCUUGGAGAAAGCAUACACUCUACGGUUCUAGAUUUAAAGGAUACUUUCAUUUGCAUCCACUGGGCUUUGUUUCCCAAGAACCGUUUGCCUUAGGAGGCCCCAGGAAUGCACCAUAAACAGCAUAUUGCUGGACAGUACUCCCACAGGACUUUUAAAUUUUUUCAUUUAUUUAUUUGAGAAAGUAAGAGAGAAAGAGGGACAGAGAGAGAGAGCUAAUGCCAGGCCUCCAGCUGUUGCAAAUGAACUCCAGACACAUGUGCCACUUUGUGCAUCUGGCUUACUCCCACAGAAAUUUUCCCCACUAAUGACUUCUCUCUCUCCA